AAAUAUAAACAUGCAGCAUUAAAAAAGCCAAAAAGGGCAUACAUUAAAAAGGCAUGCCCGAAAUUGUUCGACAGUUCCUAGUGUUAAAGGAUUCACAAGUGAAACAUCCAAAAAAGAAAAAAAAAAAAAACCUAAGACUGAAAAAUUACAAAGUCAAGGUUGUUGUUGAGAUGGCGAAGGAGGCUUUCGAUUGGCUGCUUGGAAUUGGUAAUACUGGGUUCGAAUGGACACCAAUUUACGUUGUAGCAUCUCUUUGUCACUAGUAAGAUGCUCAACCCGCUUCUGGACAGCUAGACCAUCACUGUAAUGCUGGAUGCCUUCGCGUGCUAGCUCAUCAAGCUUGACCUUUUGUGCUUCGAUAGCUACUGCAGCUAGUUUUUCCAUCUUAGCCUCUUCCUGUCGAACCUUUUCCUUCAA
RNAcentral lists this long non-coding RNA (417 nucleotides) under Trifolium pratense (red clover). Its description in RNAcentral is "long non-coding RNA (TPRA_LNC005460)". Lineage: Eukaryota; Viridiplantae; Streptophyta; Magnoliopsida; Fabales; Fabaceae. The record is from RNAcentral.